RNAcentral lists this ribosomal RNA (599 nucleotides) under Salmonella enterica subsp. enterica serovar Enteritidis. RNAcentral's name for it is "partial 23S ribosomal RNA". It matches the Rfam family "Bacterial large subunit ribosomal RNA", at positions 1 to 631 of the family's 2925-position model. The record is from RNAcentral. Lineage: Bacteria; Pseudomonadati; Pseudomonadota; Gammaproteobacteria; Enterobacterales; Enterobacteriaceae.
GGGUUGUGAGGUUAAGCGACUAAGCGUACACGGUGGAUGCCCUGGCAGUCAGAGGCGAUGAAGGGCGUACUAAUCUGCGAUAAGCGCCGGUAAGGUGAUAUGAACCGUUAUAACCGGCGAUACCCGAAUGGGGAAACCCAGUGUGAUUCGUCACACUAUCAUUAACUGAAUCCAUAGGUUAAUGAGGCGAACCGGGGGAACUGAAACAUCUAAGUACCCCGAGGAAAAGAAAUCAACCGAGAUUCCCCCAGUAGCGGCGAGCGAACGGGGAGGAGCCCAGAGCCUGAAUCAGCAUGUGUGUUAGUGGAAGCGUCUGGAAAGGCGCGCGAUACAGGGUGACAGCCCCGUACACAAAAGCGCAUGUGCUGUGAGCUCGAUGAGUAGGGCGGGACACGUGGUAUCCUGUCUGAAUAUGGGGGGACCAUCCUCCAAGGCUAAAUACUCCUGACUGACCGAUAGUGAACCAGUACCGUGAGGGAAAGGCGAAAAGAACCCCGGCGAGGGGAGUGAAAAAGAACCUGAAACCGUGUACGUACAAGCAGUGGGAGCACCCUUUGGGUGUGACUGCGUACCUUUUGUAUAAUGGGUCAGCGACUUAU